This 254-nucleotide ribosomal RNA is filed under the name uncultured bacterium. Its description in RNAcentral is "partial 16S ribosomal RNA". It matches the Rfam family "Bacterial small subunit ribosomal RNA", at positions 524 to 776 of the family's 1533-position model. The record is from RNAcentral.
UACGUAGGGUGCGAGCGUUUAAUCGGAAUUACUGGGCGUAAAGCGUGCGCAGGCGGUUUUGUAAGCCAGAUGUGAAAGCCCCGGGCUUAACCUGGGAAUGGCAUUUGGGACUGCAAGGCUUGAGUGCGGCAGAGGAGACUGGAAUUCCUGGUGUAGCAGUGAAAUGCGUAGAUAUCAGGAGGAACACCGGUGGCGAAGGCGGGUCUCUGGGCCACUACUGACGCUGAGAAGCGAAAGCGUGGGGAGCGAACAGG